GAAAGAUGGUUUCGGCUAUCACUUACAGAUGGGCCGGCGGCGCAUUACCUAGUUGGUGGGGUAAAGGCCUACCAAGGCAACGAUGCGUACCCGACCUGAAAGGGUGAUCGGCCACACUGGGACUGAGACACGGCCCAGACUCCUACGGGAGGCAGCAGUAGGGAAUCUUCCGCAAUGGACGAAAGUCUGACGGAGCACCGCCGCGUGAGUGAUGAAGGUUUUCGGAUCGAAAAACUCUGUUGUUAGGGAAAAACAAGUACAAGAGUAACUGCUCGUACCUUGACGGUACCUAACCAAAAAGCCCCGGCUAACUACGUGCCAGCAGCCGCGGUAAUACUUAGGGGGCGAGCGUUGUCCGGAAUUAUUGGGCGUAAAGCGCGCGCAGGCGGUCCUUUAAGUCUGAUGUGAAAGCCCACGGCUUAACCGUGAAGGGUCAUUGGAAACUGGAGGACUUGAGUGCAAAAAAGGAGAG
Molecule: ribosomal RNA, 472 nt
Filed under: Virgibacillus sp. DBT48
Lineage: Bacteria; Bacillati; Bacillota; Bacilli; Caryophanales; Bacillaceae
Description: bacterial SSU rRNA
Rfam family: Bacterial small subunit ribosomal RNA
Source: RNAcentral